AUUAUCCUACGGGACGCAGCAGUGGGGAAUAUUGCACAAUGGGGGAAACCCUGAUGCAGCAACGCCGCGUGAGUGAAGAAGGUUUUCGGAUUGUAAAGCUCUGUUAGCAGGGAAGAGGAAGGACGGUACCUGCAGAGGAAGCCACGGCUAACUACGUGCCAGCAGCCGCGGUAAUACGUAGGUGGCACGCGUUGUUCGGAAUAACUGGGCGUAAAGGAUGCGUAGGCGGUUAAACAAGUUAUAUGUUAAAUAUAUAGGCUUAACCUGUAUAAAGCAUAUAAAACUGUUUAACUAGAGUG
Molecule: ribosomal RNA, 299 nt
Filed under: uncultured bacterium
Lineage: Bacteria
Description: partial 16S ribosomal RNA
Rfam family: Bacterial small subunit ribosomal RNA
Source: RNAcentral